Molecule: unclassified non-coding RNA, 246 nt
Filed under: uncultured Sordariales
Lineage: Eukaryota; Fungi; Ascomycota; Sordariomycetes; Sordariales
Description: sequence contains 5.8S rRNA gene, ITS2, 28S rRNA gene
Source: RNAcentral
AACGCACAUUGCGCCCGCCAGUAUUCUGGCGGGCAUGCCCGUCCGAGCGUCAUUUCAACCAUCAAGCUCUGCUUGCGGUUGGGGAUCCGCGGCUGCCCGCGGUCCCUCAAAAACAGUGGCGGGCUCGCUAGUCACACCGAGCGUAGUAACUCUACAUCGCUAUGGUCGUGCGGCGGGUUCUUGCCGUAAAACCCCCCAAUUUUUAAGGUUGACCUCGGAUCGGGUAGGAGUACCCGCUGAACUUAA